GCUGACUUCAGCAGCACUAAAAUUGAAACAAUAUGGAAGAUUGGCUUGGCCCCUGAGCAUGGAUGACAUACAAAUCAUAAUGUGUUCCAUAUUGUU
Molecule: small nuclear RNA, 96 nt
Filed under: Suricata suricatta (meerkat)
Lineage: Eukaryota; Metazoa; Chordata; Mammalia; Carnivora; Herpestidae
Source: RNAcentral